This 253-nucleotide ribosomal RNA is filed under the name uncultured bacterium. RNAcentral's name for it is "partial 16S ribosomal RNA". It matches the Rfam family "Bacterial small subunit ribosomal RNA", at positions 524 to 776 of the family's 1533-position model. The record is from RNAcentral.
GACAGAGGAUGCAAGCGUUAAUCGGAAUUACUGGGCGUAAAGCGCACGUAGGUGGUUUGCUAAGUCAGCUGUGAAAUCCCCGGGCUCAACCUGGGCACUGCAGUUGAAACUGGCAAGCUAGAGUAGGGUAGAGGGGUGUGGAAUUCCAGGUGUAGCGGUGAAAUGCGUAGAUAUCUGGAGGAACAUCAGUGGCGAAGGCGACACCCUGGACUCAUACUGACACUGAGGUGCGAAAGCGUGGGGAGCAAACAGG